Molecule: ribosomal RNA, 445 nt
Filed under: uncultured bacterium
Lineage: Bacteria
Description: partial 16S ribosomal RNA
Rfam family: Bacterial small subunit ribosomal RNA
Source: RNAcentral
GUGAGGAAUAUUGCGCAAUGGAGGCAACUCUGACGCAGCCAUGCCGCGUGCAGGAAGAAGGCGCUACGCGUUGUAAACUGCUUUUAACCGGGAAGAAACCCCAGGACGUGUCCUGGGUUGACGGUACCGGAGGAAUAAGCACCGGCUAACUUCGUGUCAGCAGCCGCGGUAAUACGAAGGGUGCAAGCGUUAUCCGGAUUCAUUGGGUUUAAAGGGUGCGUAGGCGGAGCGUUAAGUCAGUGGUGAAAUCCUGCAGCUUAACUGUAGACUUGCCAUUGAUACUGGCGCUCUUGAGUGCGCUUGAAGUGGGCGGAAUGUGCCGUGUAGCGGUGAAAUGCUUAGAUAUGGCACAGAACACCAAUUGCGAAGGCAGCUCACUAAGGCGAUACUGACGCUGAGGCACGAAAGCGUGGGGAUCGAACAGGAUUAGAAACCCUAGUAGUCC